RNAcentral lists this unclassified non-coding RNA (304 nucleotides) under plant metagenome. Its description in RNAcentral is "partial contains 5.8S ribosomal RNA, internal transcribed spacer 2, and large subunit ribosomal RNA". The stretch from base 1 to 104 matches the Rfam family "5.8S ribosomal RNA", at positions 50 to 154 of the family's 154-position model. The record is from RNAcentral.
GAAAUGCGAUAAGUAUGUGAAUUGCAGAAUUCAGUGAAUCAUCGAAUCUUUGAACGCACAUUGCGCCCGCCAGUAUUCUGGCGGGCAUGCCUGUUCGAGCGUCAUUUCAACCAUCAAGCCCCCGGCUUGUGUUGGGGACCUGCGGCUGCCCGCAGGCCCUGAAAAACAGUGGCGGGCUCGCUGUCACACCGAGCGUAGUAGCAUACAUUCUCGCUCAGGGCGUGCUGCGGGUUCCGGCCGUUAAACGACCUUCAUAACCCAAGGUUGACCUCGGAUCAGGUAGGAAGACCCGCUGAACUUAAGC